Molecule: long non-coding RNA, 424 nt
Filed under: Phascolarctos cinereus (koala)
Lineage: Eukaryota; Metazoa; Chordata; Mammalia; Diprotodontia; Phascolarctidae
Description: lncRNA (ENSPCIG00000033158.1)
Source: RNAcentral
GCCAAGUCCUCUACAACAGAGCCCUUGGAGAGACAGCAGCAGGAGCUGUUAGACCCCUUCUCCCAGAGAAAGGCCACCAUUUUUUUACAGACUAAAAGGACUGUGACCCUAGUUUUGGAUGGCCCUGUUUUUUUGUUCAAUUGUUUUCAGGAUCCAGCUCUUCCUGAAUUCAUUUGGGUUUCCUUGCAAAGAUGGGACUUUCAGAUGAAGAAACAGGCCAGCAGGCUUAAGUGACUUGCCCAGGGCUUGGUUACACAACGAGCCUUGUGUCUGAGCUGGAUGUGAAGAUGGGUUUUCCUCACUCCUGCUCUACUUCUCAGCUGCCCUGCAUGACCUUGAUAGAAGCGUGUUUUAAUUAAGCCUAGCCAUGUGGCCAUGCAAUGCCAUCCUGGGGUGAUGGACCUGGUUACCCUCCUAUCCUAAC